Molecule: ribosomal RNA, 316 nt
Filed under: uncultured soil bacterium
Lineage: Bacteria
Description: bacterial SSU rRNA
Rfam family: Bacterial small subunit ribosomal RNA
Source: RNAcentral
AGAUUGAACGCUGGCGGCAUGCCUUACACAUGCAAGUCGAACGGCAGCACGGGAGCAAUCCUGGUGGCGAGUGGCGAACGGGUGAGUAAUAUAUCGGAACGUGCCCAGUCGUGGGGGAUAACGCAGUGAAAGCUGUGCUAAUACCGCAUACGAUCUAUGGAUGAAAGCGGGGGACUCGCAAGAGCCUCGCGCGAUUGGAGCGGCCGAUAUCAGAUUAGCUAGUUGGUGGGUAAAAGCCCACCAAGGCGACGAUCUGUAGCUGGUCUGAGAGGACGACCAGCCGACACUGGAACUGAGACACGGGUCCAGACUCCGU